RNAcentral lists this ribosomal RNA (445 nucleotides) under uncultured bacterium. RNAcentral describes it as "partial 16S ribosomal RNA". It matches the Rfam family "Bacterial small subunit ribosomal RNA", at positions 354 to 796 of the family's 1533-position model. The record is from RNAcentral.
GUGAGGAAUAUUGGUCAAUGGACGAGAGUCUGAACCAGCCAAGUCGCGUGAAGGAAGACGGUUCUAUGAAUUGUAAACUUCUUUUGUGUAGGAAUAAAGUGGGUUACGUGUAACCUUUUGUAUGUACUGUACGAAUAAGGAUCGGCUAACUCCGUGCCAGCAGCCGCGGUAAUACGGAGGAUCCGAGCGUUAUCCGGAUUUAUUGGGUUUAAAGGGUGCGUAGGUGGAUUGAUAAGUCAGCGGUGAAAGUUUGCAGCUUAACUGUAAAAUUGCCGUUGAAACUGUCGGUCUUGAGUGCAAAUGAGGUAGGCGGAAUGUGUUGUGUAGCGGUGAAAUGCUUAGAUAUAACACAGAACACCGAUUGCGAAGGCAGCUUACUGGGAUGCAACUGACGCUCAUGCACGAAAGCGUGGGGAUCAAACAGGAUUAGAUACCCUGGUAGUCC